Molecule: long non-coding RNA, 184 nt
Organism: Amphimedon queenslandica
Lineage: Eukaryota; Metazoa; Porifera; Demospongiae; Haplosclerida; Niphatidae
Exons: 3
Source: RefSeq, a predicted model, not a curated record
AGCUAGUGCACUUGAAAGGAUGAAUCAAAACACAGCUGCUGCACUCAUCCAUGAACUGUUUCCUAAAUUUGAUGAUACAUACACUACUAUUAGUUCACCAGUACCUCCAUCAGUUGCUAAUAAUAAUAUUCCACCAAUACCAUCAGGCAUUUGUAUUCAUAAAAAUAAUACCCAAUCACUGGCU